This is a non-coding RNA of Acanthosepion pharaonis, 116 nucleotides long. Lineage: Eukaryota; Metazoa; Mollusca; Cephalopoda; Sepiida; Sepiidae. The record is from the annotation of a GenBank genome assembly.
UCGCGGCUAUAUUACACUAAAAACACCACUUCACGUACGAACGCCGAAGUUAAGCAACGUCGAGCCAGGUCAAUACCUAGAUGGGUGACCACUUGUGAAUACCAGGUUGCUGUAAG